UACGUAGGCAGCGAGCGUUGUCCGGAUUUAUUGGGUUUAAAGGGUGCGUAGGCGGCUUUGUAAGUCAGUGGUGAAAUACUCCAGCUCAACUGGAGAGGUGCCAUUGAUACUGCAGAGCUAGAGUACUGAUGAGGUAGGCGGAAUGGACGGUGUAGCGGUGAAAUGCUUAGAUAUCGUCCAGAACACCGAUAGCGAAGGCAGCUUACUAAAGAGUAACUGACGCUGAGGCACGAAAGUGCGGGGAUCAAACAGG
This 253-nucleotide ribosomal RNA is filed under the name uncultured bacterium. RNAcentral describes it as "partial 16S ribosomal RNA". It matches the Rfam family "Bacterial small subunit ribosomal RNA", at positions 524 to 776 of the family's 1533-position model. The record is from RNAcentral.